UGGUGAGUAACGCGUGAGGAACCUGCCUUUCAGAGGGGGACAACAGUUGGAAACGACUGCUAAUACCGCAUGACGCAUGACUGGGGCAUCCCGGACAUGCCAAAGAUUUAUCGCUGAAAGAUGGCCUCGCGUCCGAUUAGAUAGUUGGCGGGGUAACGGCCCACCAAGUCGACGAUCGGUAGCCGGACUGAGAGGUUGGCCGGCCACAUUGGGACUGAGAUACGGCCCAGACUCCUACGGGAGGCAGCAGUGGGGAAUAUUGGGCAAUGGACGCAAGUCUGACCCAGCAACGCCGCGUGAAGGAAGAAGGCUUUCGGGUUGUAAACUUCUUUUGACAGGGAAGAGCGGAAGACGGUACCUGAAAACAAGCCACGGCUAACUACGUGCCAGCAGCCGCGGUAAUACGUAGGUGGCAAGCGUUGUCCGGAUUUACUGGGUGUAAAGGGCGUGCAGCCGGGCCGACAAGUCAGAUGUGAAAUCCCGAGGCUUAACCUCGGAACUGCAUUUGAAACUGUUGGUCUUGAGUAUCGGAGAGGUCAUCGGAAUUCCUUGUGUAGCGGUGAAAUGCGUAGAUAUAAGGAAGAACACCAGUGGCGAAGGCGGAUGACCGGACGACAACUGACGGUGAGGCGCGAAAGCGUGGGGAGCGAACAGGAUUAGAUACCCUGGUAGUCCACGCUGUAAACGAUGGAUACUAGGUGUGCGGGGACU
This 711-nucleotide ribosomal RNA is filed under the name uncultured bacterium. Its description in RNAcentral is "bacterial SSU rRNA". It matches the Rfam family "Bacterial small subunit ribosomal RNA", at positions 104 to 832 of the family's 1533-position model. The record is from RNAcentral.